This 253-nucleotide ribosomal RNA is filed under the name uncultured bacterium. Its description in RNAcentral is "partial 16S ribosomal RNA". It matches the Rfam family "Bacterial small subunit ribosomal RNA", at positions 524 to 776 of the family's 1533-position model. The record is from RNAcentral.
UACGGGGGGGGCAAGCGUUGUUCGGAAUUACUGGGCGUAAAGGGCUCGUAGGUGGCCAACUAAGUCAGACGUGAAAUCCCUCGGCUUAACCGGGGAACUGCGUCUGAUACUGGAUGGCUUGAGUUUGGGAGAGGGACGCGGAAUUCCAGGUGUAGCGGUGAAAUGCGUAGAUAUCUGGAGGAACACCGGUGGCGAAGGCGGCUAUCUGGACCGACAUUGACGCUGAGGCGCGAAAGCGUGGGGAGCAAACAGG